GUAACCAAAUUGGCUACAUAGCCUUAUUUAUAGAGUUUUUGAGCGUUCUGGCCUCCCGGCCACUAGGGGGGCUUCUAGAUUUUUUUGCCUAUGCUUUGGCUGCAUACAGGAGGUUUAAAGAGAGAGAGAGUUGAUGGGUGAACACAUUGCACUCUGUACUGCGUCUCCCUGGGAGGAAACCUCAUGGUUUCAUGCCUUCUAGGGAGUUUAUGUAUGUCCACAAAUCCCUGUGACUUUGAGACCCCAAGAGGAGUCAAGCCUGAAGCAAGGACUUAUCAACCUCUGUCAGCAGACAACCACUAGAAAGACUGUUCACCCGCUCUAAACCCUGCUAAGGACUCUGGCUGGACUAGUGGGACUAUUUGAAUCCAUUGACUAAUAGACGGUCCAUUCUUCAAAGAACGAAUUAAGGGACUCCUUUCAUUGUUUAUGUCCAUGAUGGUGUAUAUGUGGGUUUGGGUGGUUUGGAUAAAUGGUGUUUCAUACUUAAA
This is a long non-coding RNA of Astyanax mexicanus (Mexican tetra), 491 nucleotides long. RefSeq lists it as uncharacterized. The transcript is spliced from 2 exons. The record is from RefSeq and is a predicted model, not a curated record. NCBI's taxonomy places the organism in Eukaryota, Metazoa, Chordata, Actinopteri, Characiformes, Acestrorhamphidae.